GCUUACGGCCACGACGCCUGGUUCACGCCCGAUCUCGUUUGAUCUCGGAAGCUAAGAUAGGUUGGGCCUGGUUAGUACUUGAAAAGGAGACCGCCUGGGAAUACCAGGUGCUGUAAGCA
Molecule: ribosomal RNA, 119 nt
Filed under: Scophthalmus maximus (turbot)
Lineage: Eukaryota; Metazoa; Chordata; Actinopteri; Pleuronectiformes; Scophthalmidae
Source: RNAcentral